GCUGGGUGUGGUGGUGCGCACCUGUAGUCCCAACUACUCGGGAGGCUGAGGCAGGAGAAUCGCUUGAACCCGGGAGGCAGAGGUUGCAGUGAGCCAAGAUCUCACCACUGCACUCCAGCCUGGGUGAAAGAGCGAGACUCUGUCUCAA
This 148-nucleotide non-coding RNA is filed under the name Pan troglodytes (chimpanzee). Lineage: Eukaryota; Metazoa; Chordata; Mammalia; Primates; Hominidae. The record is from Rfam by way of RNAcentral.